RNAcentral lists this ribosomal RNA (475 nucleotides) under uncultured Comamonadaceae bacterium. RNAcentral describes it as "bacterial SSU rRNA". It matches the Rfam family "Bacterial small subunit ribosomal RNA", at positions 8 to 479 of the family's 1533-position model. The record is from RNAcentral. Lineage: Bacteria; Pseudomonadati; Pseudomonadota; Betaproteobacteria; Burkholderiales; Comamonadaceae.
AGAGUUUGAUCCUGGCUCAGAUUGAACGCUGGCGGAAUGCUUUACACAUGCAAGUCGAACGGCAGCACGGGGGCAACCCUGGUGGCGAGUGGCGAACGGGUGAGUAAUACAUCGGAACGUGCCCAGUCGUGGGGGAUAACGUAGCGAAAGCUACGCUAAUACCGCAUACGAACUCUGGUUGAAAGCGGGGGAUCGCAAGACCUCGCGCGAUUGGAGCGGCCGAUGGCAGAUUAGGUAGUUGGUGGGGUAAAGGCUCACCAAGCCCACGAUCUGUAGCUGGUCUGAGAGGACGACCAGCCACACUGGGACUGAGACACGGCCCAGACUCCUACGGGAGGCAGCAGUGGGGAAUUUUGGACAAUGGGCGCAAGCCUGAUCCAGCCAUUCCGCGUGCAGGAUGAAGGCCCUCGGGUUGUAAACUGCUUCUGUACGGAACGAAAAGGCCUGGGUUAAUACCUCGGGCUCAUGACGUACC